GCAAGUCGAGCGGAACGAUCCUAGCUUGCUAGGAGGCGUCGAGCGGCGGACGGGUGAGUAAUGCAUAGGAAUCUGCCCGGUAGUGGGGGAUAACCUGGGGAAACCCAGGCUAAUACCGCAUACGCCCUACGGGGGAAAGCAGGGGAUCUUCGGACCUUGCGCUAUCGGAUGAGCCUAUGUCGGAUUAGCUAGUUGGUGAGGUAACGGCUCACCAAGGCUGCGAUCCGUAGCUGGUCUGAGAGGAUGAUCAGCCACAUCGGGACUGAGACACGGCCCGAACUCCUACGGGAGGCAGCAGUGGGGAAUAUUGGACAAUGGGCGAAAGCCUGAUCCAGCCAUGCCGCGUGUGUGAAGAAGGCCUUCGGGUUGUAAAGCACUUUCAGUGAGGAAGAAAGCCUUGAGGUUAAUACCCUCGAGGGAGGACAUCACUCACAGAAGAAGCACCGGCUAACUCCGUGCCAGCAGCCGCGGUAAUACGGAGGGUGCGAGCGUUAAUCGGAAUUACUGGGCGUAAAGCGCGCGUAGGCGGCUUGAUAAGCCGGUUGUGAAAGCCCCGGGCUCAACCUGGGAACGGCAUCCGGAACUGUCAGGCUAGAGUGCAGGAGAGGAAGGUAGAAUUCCCGGUGUAGCGGUGAAAUGCGUA
This 643-nucleotide ribosomal RNA is filed under the name uncultured bacterium. RNAcentral's name for it is "bacterial SSU rRNA". It matches the Rfam family "Bacterial small subunit ribosomal RNA", at positions 57 to 692 of the family's 1533-position model. The record is from RNAcentral.